GAUGAACGCUAGCGGCAGGCUUAAUACAUGCAAGUCGAGGGGCAGCAUAAGUAGCAAUACUUGAUGGCGACCGGCAAACGGGUGCGGAACACGUACGCAACCUUCCUUUAAGUGGGGAAUAGCCCGGGGAAACCCGGAUUAAUACCCCGUAAUAUUAUGAUGUGGCAUCACAUUAUAAUUAUAGAUUCAUCGCUUAAAGAUGGGCGUGCGCCUGAUUAGGUAGUUGGCGGAGUAAAGCCCACCAAGCCUGCGAUCAGUAACUGGUGUGAGAGCACGACCAGUCACACGGGCACUGAGACACGGGCCCCGACUCCUACGGGAGGCAGCAGUAAGGAAUAUUGGUCAAUGGACGCAAGUCUGAACCAGCCAUGCCGCGUGG
RNAcentral lists this ribosomal RNA (379 nucleotides) under uncultured bacterium. RNAcentral describes it as "bacterial SSU rRNA". It matches the Rfam family "Bacterial small subunit ribosomal RNA", at positions 28 to 404 of the family's 1533-position model. The record is from RNAcentral.